CUCUCUUCUCUCCCAACUACCAAUGGUGUGGAUGAAUCCUACAUUGCUGAGGAGGCCCUCAAGUUUGAGCAGCAGGCAGUAGUUGAGAUAAGUAACCUCGAAGGUGCCCUUGUACAGGUGGAAGAGAAGACAGCUGAAGCUGCUGAAACCAAUGCUGAAGCUUCAGAUGCCUUGUACUUUGCUUGAAGCACCUAGGCUCCUAGCAGCAUGGCCAGGCGGGCCCGGGACGUCGAGCUAGACCGGCUGGUGCAUGACAAGCCGCUCGAUGGCGGGGAGCCCUCCCCUGCCAGCCGCGGGGCCCUAGAGCUGCUCCCCAAUGUCCCCAGCUACCGACCCGCCGCCGCCUCCCGCGCCCCCGUCCCUGCCGCCAGCAGGCCAAAGGCCGGAGUU
This is a long non-coding RNA of Manacus vitellinus (golden-collared manakin), 390 nucleotides long. RefSeq lists it as uncharacterized. Lineage: Eukaryota; Metazoa; Chordata; Aves; Passeriformes; Pipridae. The record is from RefSeq and is a predicted model, not a curated record. The transcript is spliced from 3 exons.